UACGUAGGGUGCGAGCGUUGUCCGGAUUUAUUGGGCGUAAAGAGCUCGUAGGCGGUUUGGUAAGUCGGAUGUGAAACCCCCAGGCUCAACCUGGGGCCGCCAUUCGAUACUGCCAUGACUAGAGUCCGGUAGGGGGCCAUGGAAUUCCUGGUGUAGCGGUGAAAUGCGCAGAUAUCAGGAGGAACACCAGCGGCGAAGGCGGUGGCCUGGGCCGGAACUGACGCUGAGGAGCGAAAGCGUGGGGA
RNAcentral lists this ribosomal RNA (245 nucleotides) under uncultured bacterium. Its description in RNAcentral is "partial 16S ribosomal RNA". It matches the Rfam family "Bacterial small subunit ribosomal RNA", at positions 524 to 767 of the family's 1533-position model. The record is from RNAcentral.